This 67-nucleotide transfer RNA is filed under the name Tarentola mauritanica (Moorish gecko). RNAcentral's name for it is "tRNA-Lys". Lineage: Eukaryota; Metazoa; Chordata; Lepidosauria; Squamata; Phyllodactylidae. The record is from RNAcentral.
CCCCAGGUAGCUAACCACACAAGCGCUAGCCUUUUAAGCCAGAAAUGGACACGCAGUCCCCUGGGGC